GUGCUCACUUUGGCAGCACAUAUACUAAAAUUGGAACAUUAGGGAGAUGCGCAUGGCCCCUGUGUAAAGAUGACACACAAAUUGAUGAAGCGUUCCGUAUUUUU
Otolemur garnettii (small-eared galago) is the source of this 104-nucleotide small nuclear RNA. The record is from Ensembl. NCBI's taxonomy places the organism in Eukaryota, Metazoa, Chordata, Mammalia, Primates, Galagidae.